Molecule: microRNA precursor, 66 nt
Filed under: Eisenia fetida (common brandling worm)
Lineage: Eukaryota; Metazoa; Annelida; Clitellata; Crassiclitellata; Lumbricidae
Description: Efe-Let-7-P10_pre stem-loop
Source: RNAcentral
UGAGGUAGUAGGUUGUAUAGUAGGGUUACAUCAAUUCAGGCGACUAUACAACCUUCUAGCUUUGAC